Molecule: transfer RNA, 63 nt
Filed under: bovine gut metagenome
Rfam family: tRNA
About the family: Transfer RNA (tRNA) molecules are approximately 80 nucleotides in length.
Source: RNAcentral
CUUAGCUCAGCUGGAUAGAGUGUUUGACUACGAAUCAAAAGGUCGAGGGUUCGAAUCCCCCAG